UCUGCCUUGCCUCGGGAGAGAAAGGGAGCAAACAUAGGUGCCUUGGCGGAGAGGUCGGCGGCGACCCCGCAGCUGGUGAGACCGGCAGCGGAACGGAGUGCUAGUGCGUAGGCCGACCCAACUGCCUUGGAAGAGAGAGAGGUAUCUCCGCAGCCUGCUCCGGCGGCGUCAGGUAGCGUUGUGGAUUGGGACUUUGUUCGAUCUGCAGCGGAGAGGCCGGCGAUUCGCGAUAGUCGAAGACAUGGCCGUCGCUUUCGAGAUGGGAGGUUAAGUUUCAGAACUGGAUGGAACUAUUUCGCUGUUUCCAAUGAACUCGAAUCAGGUCUGGAUGUGAUGAUGAUGUUCUAUAUGAAUUUUUCUCGCCAUGUCAAGGUUACCUCAUUGGGACUGCAGAAUUUCACCAAUUCCAACGCCAGCUUGGGAUGGAGUUGGAGGGCAUGCGGCGUUUGCUUGCUGAAGAGGAUGGCCCGGUCUUUUUUAUUGGGCGUAUUGUCUUAGUGUGUAUUGGUCCUUUUUAGCUACAGGCUGUGUGGUUUCCCAUUUUCGUUUAGAAUGGUAACUCAACAUUGGACUGAUAACGAGAGACACAAAGAGCCGUUAGAACUCAAUGUUUUUGGGCUGGCAGAAAUGUGUCUGUUUUCUAAUUUGAGAACAGACGGUUUUUUCAUUCAUUUUUCUGUAGUUUUGAGUCAUGCAGCUGUCAUCUUACUAUUGGCUACGAAAAUGUGUCUGUUCACGAAUUUGAAAACAGAUAGCUGUUCAAUAGUCAGUCCCUAAUUAAGAUGCCCGAUGGUAAGUGGCAGUCUACUUUGAACCGGUACUAUUACAAACUUGUAAGGAUAAUUCCACCUACCCGAAAGUCGCUACUCGAGUUCUUAAUGAGUUAUGGGAUAUUUUUUUCUCACUCUAGCCACUGGCAGAGAGGAGGAAUGCUACCUCGUGGUGUCUAAGCAUGUAAUGAAGUUUGUGAUUUACAUGUACUAUGAGGCACGCAUGAGAUGCACGAUUAACUGGUAUGCACUCGUGAAGAGGAUUUUGCUCCUGAAGCACAAUGCCCGGUUAAGGCAUAUGACACUUUGAGGAGUACAACAUGGAACCUCCUCAGUGGUGUGCCUCCAAGAAGGCGUGCUUUCACCAGAUCAUGGACUAUUGGGUUACAAAGGCGUGCCCUCAUGAAAGGUGGAGUACACCGUCAGGGCAGCCUCUCCCUCGGUGCCUAUGUGCAAAAAAGGGUGAGCAAAUGCAUUACAUUUUUCUUGUCACACUGCAGAGACAGGAUACAUGCAAAGAUCACUAUGAAAUUAAGGUUU
This is a long non-coding RNA of Lolium perenne, 1310 nucleotides long. RefSeq lists it as uncharacterized. Lineage: Eukaryota; Viridiplantae; Streptophyta; Magnoliopsida; Poales; Poaceae. The record is from RefSeq and is a predicted model, not a curated record.